Molecule: long non-coding RNA, 512 nt
Organism: Ictalurus furcatus (blue catfish)
Lineage: Eukaryota; Metazoa; Chordata; Actinopteri; Siluriformes; Ictaluridae
Exons: 3
Source: RefSeq, a predicted model, not a curated record
CACACACACCCCCCCCUUACCAGCCUAUAUAAACUGAAGAAUGAGUCUGCAUUAAUACCAUUCUGUUCACAUCGUGACCAUCGUCCUCCUCCUACUCCUCCUCAUCAUCAUCAUUAUCAUCAUCAUCACCAUGGUCUCUCGUUCUCUCCUGCUGGUUCUGCUGGGUCUCACCUGCCUUCAGUCCUUCACAACAGCCAACAAUGGACAUGGACCAAGACAGUGCUGUUUCAAUUACCAGAAGAAGGAAAUCCCUGCAAAAUAUAUUACAGCGUAUGAAGAAACAGAGCAUCAGUGUACAAAACCUGGAGUCAUCUUUACCCUAAAUAAUGGUCGUCGUGUGUGUGCAGACCCCGGCGUCGAGUGGGUGAAGAACAUCAUGGAAAUAAUUGACCAGCGCUUUUUUACCUGAUCCAAACUCAAACAAGUGUUUCAAAACUCUCUCCAUUAAUAAGUCUUUCAUAUUUCUUUUACGAAAUCCACUUUUUAUGUAAUCAGACAGGAGGAAUAAAGAU